UGCACGUCCCACUCCUAGGCCUCAAGAGAUGUUGUAGCUUCUGCUUUCUCACUGGGAAUCUUCUACCAGCAUGUGAACAAACCUGGGCUAGCCUACAGGAAGAUGAGAGAGCAUCUCUCUCCCUCUCUUUCUCCCUGGAGAGAGGCUCCAGAUGUGCUAACCCUCACAGCUGAAGCACCACACGCAUCAGCAAGUGCCACCAAGAGAAGCCACACCUGGACCAGACCACAAAAACUGCCCAGCUGAGCCCAGCCCAGAUUGCUGAUCCACAGAAUUUUGAGCUAGCCACAACAACUCGUAUUUUAAGCCAUUAAAUUUAAGAGUGAUUUGCUACAUGGUAAUAGAUAACUGAUACAUAUAUGGCCUGAGAAGCAAAGGCGGAAACAGAUGAAAAGAACAAAAAAAACCAAAGCCUAGAGAAGGAAAGUGACUUGCUCCAGCUCUCACCAUUUAGGGCCAUGGAUCGGAAUAUUUAACUCUAGAGAUCCUCAUGGGGUUAUGAACUUUGAAAACAACAGUAACAAAAACCUAUCUACUAUCAUCAUGGCUUCAUUUUAAAAAGCGAAGUGACAUUUAACACACCAAAAAUAGGCAGAAAGGACAAAAAUCUCAGAAUAA
This is a long non-coding RNA of Lutra lutra (Eurasian river otter), 618 nucleotides long. RefSeq lists it as uncharacterized. The transcript has 3 exons. NCBI's taxonomy places the organism in Eukaryota, Metazoa, Chordata, Mammalia, Carnivora, Mustelidae. The record is from RefSeq and is a predicted model, not a curated record.